ACAUAGAUAUGAAUGUUGCAACUGAAAUGCAUAUUGGUUGCUCUAAAAGUGCAAUACUGAAUUUGAUCUUUUAUUUGACUUUUUUUUCUUGACAUUGUUGUAUUUCCAUGUUUGUGAUACUGUUUGCAUCUCUUCUUUUCCAUUUUGCUCACUCGUUUUAGAAUUUGCUAAUAAUCUUCCACAAUCUGGAGGUGCUGUUUCUCUUAGAAAAAUUGGUAUUUGCCCUGUAAAGGUAACUUAUUGUCUACUUAUCUUACACAAUAUCGAUCACAGACACCCGCCCUGAGUCCAUUCAUAAAGGAUUUAAUCUGCUUUUCUAUGAGUUCAUGUUUGAUUAUAUGCUUCCUUGGAUAAUUGUAUGUUGUGACUGCAAAUCUUUGGAACUGUUAUACCUGUGGAUUAUAUGCUUCCUUGGAUAAUUGUAUAGUCUUAUAGUUAUCAUGCAGCUUAUCAUGUGAAAAUGUUAGAAGAAUAUGUGAACUAUGAUUUUCUGAGACAACAUAUUGUUUAGGGUAAAGCAUUCCUCAUGGAUCCAGAUCCUCUUUGAUGUUGGGUAGAGAUGAUCAUAUUAUUCAUACAUAUCAAAUGUCAUGAAUUGCUACUUUGGAUUAUGGAACCGACGCAAAAAUAGUGAGAUUAAUCACCUUAUCAAAAAUUUGAGAUUCAUCAAAUCCUUAGAUGAUUCUCUUUAUAGAUAUAUGGCUAUACAUAUUGAGAAUGAGCAGUAUUCUCAUAUCAGAUGAGGUUGUUCAAGUUGCACUUCUGGCUUUACAUUGAUAGAGAAUCAUUCCACGAGUGAUGGAAAAAAACAGAAUUAUUUGUAGUACUGCAAGUUAGGGGAGAUAGUAGUUAAAAGGUAAAAGGUUCCAUGUGAAUAGCUGUUACUGAAUCAAAAAUUAAUGUAGAAACAAGUAUAAAACAUUGAUAGAACAUGCAAUUAACAGUUAGUGACUGCUUCCUGCAUUGUCACACUAGCAAGAAGGUCCAGGUAAUUGUUGCUUUGUUGUACUCUAUGUUGAUGCAGAAUUGCUAUCUUCUCUGUUUGCAAGUUGCUGUAUUCAAAUUUAUAUAGGCGGAGAGAAAUAAGAAAAGCAAAAAACAUGAAGAUAGCCAUUAUCUUUUACCUUUGUUGGAAUAAGAAAAUCCUUAUAUAACUCUUAGAUAAACUUGGUUAUCAGAUCAUGCCAAAUAACAGCCUGUUUUGCUAUUUUGGCAGCCAUUAAACGGUUGACAAAGGCAAUGUACUGGAAGUUCUUUCAAUUACCACGGUCAUGGGAACUUUUGGCCAACUACAUGGUGUAUUUGGGUGGAAAUUACCUACCUGGUAAAUUAACUCUUGCUUAGGGUUCAGCACUUUCUAUACAUCCUAUCCAGUAACCUGUAACCUAGAUUUGUUGCUUCCUGGCAAGUAUUCAACUGAAUAUAAUCUUCCGAAAGAAUCUGCUGUGUAUCUGCUUAAGUUGACAGCAAAAUACAUAAAUAAGAGUCUACUGCAAAUUCUCUUCUGAUUGGGUGAUCUGUACUGCAACUAUCUCUUCAUCUUUGAUCUUUGUUCCUAAAUAAUUUCUUCCGGUGAGGUAAUCAUCUUGACUUUAGGCAGUUCAGAUUAGUGAUGAGAUUUCUAUUUGCAAAAUGAGAUUUUGUCAGGAGAUGGUGCCCCAAGGUCAUAGAAGUACCCUAUCUUACAUCAUCAGAGAUGCAUGCUUUUUGUUGUCUUUGUAAUUUCAUUGUAUUGUUGCCUGCCACUAGUCUAUCUGGUGUUCCUGUGUAUUGAUUAAGACAGGGCGGCUUGCAAGGAUCAUUCAAGUUAUAAAGAUGGUGAUCAAUGCUUUAGCUGCUUUUGCAAUGAUUUGGAUAUGGUAUGUGACUGGAGCUGCAACUUAUUCAACACCUUGAUGAUGAGACCUUAAACUUGUUAUCUUUCAAUUCUAAUAUUGCAUGUUAAAAGAUUUUUAUUUGAGCUCAUUCUCCUAUGGCCAUCGUUGGGGUUAUAUGUAUGCUGAUUGCUGGGUGAUCAGUGCUUUAGCUGCUUGUAUACUGCUUGUAGUAUGUUGUGUUUGCAUUUUUAACUGUCGGUCUUUCACCAACUUAUGAUUCAUGGCUGAAAUGUAGAGAUCUGGCUUUAUGGCUUUUAAACAAUUUUGCAUGAUUACCUUCUCUUUUUCAUUGAUUGACUGACUGUUCUCUGAAAGAGAUUGCACAAAGCUGUCCUGGAUUACGCGCUAUUGACCUGAGCAACUUGCGUAAAUUGACAGACUUUGCAAUCGGUUAUCUUGUCACUGGUUGUAGAACAGUUGACAAGCUAAAACUCUCACAAUGCUUUCAGGUUUUCAAAAUACAUCAUUCAAUACAGAAUGCUUUCGAAGUGUAGCAUAUGUAGUGUCCUUAACCAUAAUCUUUUGCUUGCAAUAUUCGUCAUCAUUUUCUAUUGCUUUUUACUCUUUUCUUCAAUGUCGGUUGCUUAUGCCUUGAGAGCAAAUUUUUCAAAGAAUAUCACCAUACAUUGCUACAAAGGAGGGUUGUUUCUUCGCAUAAAAAGUUCUUCAUUUUGAAUAUUGAAAAGAUGUUUCAAAAUGCUUGGUUUCAAAUUUCCUUCUAAUAUUCCUUUUGGGGAGUGGUUGGCUGCCCAGAAUCAUCUAGGUAGAUAGUGCAUACAUUUUCUUUUGUAUUUUACUUUUAUUUUGCAAGUAAAAAUAGCAUAUCCAAUUUGCGGAGAUAUAACAGUCUUUUAUGCUUAUAGGAGUGGGUGCAUACGGCACAUUGUAAUUUGUAUAUAUAAGGAAAGUCUCAUUCUGUCAGAUUAUAUGAGCUGGAUUUGACAUCUAUGUUGCUCGGACCCUCCGAAAAUAUUGAUGGGUGCGUGUCAGAUCCUCCAAAAAUUAGUGUAUUUUUGGAGGAUCCGACACGGGUGCGGCAGCUGUUUUGGAGAGUCGGCACAACAUAUUGACAUAGCUCACACUUAACUCCUUUGAUGAAAUUUCUACCUUCAUCGAGCAUUGAUGAAGCUGUUGCUACCGGAAGAAAUUUCACUCAUUUUUGUGGUGCUGCACUGUUAGUAAUGGGAACAUGCAGAUUUUCUUUGCUUUCACUUCUAGGCCUCUUGUUUGCUCUUCAUGUUUUUCUGGGUACAUGGGAAUUUGAUAAUCGGAAAAGGUCAAUGAAUUUUUGCCUGACUAUAUGUCAAGGAAUCAAAGUUUUUCAAUGUCUUUAUAUGAUUUUUACAAGUUUCACACAACACUGCAACGUGACGGGUAAAGUUGCUGCCAUGUGACCAGAAGGUCACGGAUUCGAGUCGUGGAAACAACCUCUGGCAGAAAAUGCAAGGUAAGGCUGCGUACAAUAGGCCCUUAUGAUCCGGCUCUUCUCCGAGCCCCGCGCAUAACGGGAGCUUAGUGCACCGGGCUGCCCUUCACACAACACUGCAAUGUCACUAGCCAAAUGCUCAAAAAAUUUGAUUAGUCUGGAUUUGUCUUGGUGCCGCAACUUGACAAACGAAGCGCUGUACUCAGACUGCCAACAGGGAUUGGUGAAAGGCACCUGCUCCUACCACAGAGUCGAAGACAAAGGCUGUCUUUCUCGAUUAUGCAGAAAUAUAGGAAUUUCUUGUGCUUGUACAAUUUGAUUUUGUGUUGUGACUUUGAGUUCUUUCCUACACUCUAGGUUUCAUCAUAGGUCACCUUAUCGAGAUCCAUGCAUCUUAAGGUUUCAUCCGAACUGAAGAAAAGGGCACAAAAAUUUUGUUUCUUUGCCCUAGAUUGACCCUAAAAUCUGGAGAAUAAAAUCUAAAUUACUGUGAAAUAUCAGUGUUAUCAAAGGCGAAAAGCGCAAGAAAGCUUUAAGUUCUAUUAGGACUUUAAGCGCAAAGUGCAAAAUAAAGUGUGGGCUUUCAUGAAGAAAGACGCAGAUGGAGAAAAACUACAAAUAUGCAUGUUUAGUCCAAGACUAAUAUCUAUAAGCAUGAAUACCAAAUAUAUGGACAAAGAAAUUGAAAAAAAUAUUACGAUAAAGUGAAAUAUCAAUUGUUUAGUAUCGUCUCUUCAGGAUUAUGCUCAUUGGUAAGGAAAAGUAUGUCUUGGAGCAUUGAUGACAACACUAAAACGCCCGCUAGGUGAGGUGAAGCGCUCAACAUGUUUUGAGCCUCGCUUCAGGGAUUAAGCGCGCUUUAAGUGCGCCUUUGAUAACAAUGUGAAACAUCACAAAAUGCGUGUGCUCUCAAGGUUCCUGUUGUUUCUUUUGCUACGGUUAUUGUUGCUGCUUCCUUUUUAAUAUGUCCUUGAGCCGAGGGUCUAUCAGAAACAGCCUCUUUACCUUCACAAGAUAGGGGUAAUGUCUGCUUACACACUAUCCUCAUCGGACCCCUCUUAUGGGAUUACAUUGGGUUUGUUGUUGAUGUUGUUGUUGUCAUUCUAAUAGAGGUUUCAUAAUACAGGUUAUUUGUUAAAGUCAGUGGCUGAAAAUGCAAAUAGAUAUGAAACCAUUUUUGGUGGUAGGCGGUGUUGUAUUUGAUUGUUCAUCACUUAAGCUCAAAUGCAUAGGUAUGGGAGGCAUCAUA
This is a long non-coding RNA of Nicotiana attenuata, 4552 nucleotides long. RefSeq lists it as uncharacterized. The transcript has 3 exons. Lineage: Eukaryota; Viridiplantae; Streptophyta; Magnoliopsida; Solanales; Solanaceae. The record is from RefSeq and is a predicted model, not a curated record.